GUGGGAGGGGGCUUGCCCCCGAUGGCAGUGGGUCAGCCACCUAUUUUUAGCUGACGGACCGCUAUCGGGGGCAAGCCCCCUCCCAC
Molecule: unclassified non-coding RNA, 86 nt
Filed under: Pseudomonas sp. PDC86
Lineage: Bacteria; Pseudomonadati; Pseudomonadota; Gammaproteobacteria; Pseudomonadales; Pseudomonadaceae
Source: RNAcentral